AGCAGAGGAGACAUGGACACAGACCUGCUAUAGUUUCAUUUUCCUAAUGGGUUUUUAUAAUCUGAACAGAGUUGUCAAGACAUUUGGAAGUGUGUGUAAUGACUGAGGCUUUAAUGAAACUUUCUUCAGUUGAAGAAAAGAAGGCUAUUUCACAGUGCUCUGGCUAGAAAGGAUACAAGACAAAGAGGAGAUUGAUGCAGCGUGCCUCACAAUGGCUCUACUGAUUUCUCUACUGGCCCUUCCUCUGCACAUGGUCAAUUGGAAUUGAAAAUUCUGUUCUGAUUU
Molecule: long non-coding RNA, 285 nt
Organism: Gopherus evgoodei (Goodes thornscrub tortoise)
Lineage: Eukaryota; Metazoa; Chordata; Testudines; Testudinidae
Exons: 3
Source: RefSeq, a predicted model, not a curated record